This 1976-nucleotide ribosomal RNA is filed under the name human oral metagenome. Its description in RNAcentral is "bacterial LSU rRNA". It matches the Rfam family "Bacterial large subunit ribosomal RNA", at positions 1 to 1977 of the family's 2925-position model. The record is from RNAcentral.
UAAAAUAAUUAAGGGCACACAAAGGAUGCCUAGGUAGUAAGAGCCGAUGAAGGACGUGGUAAGCUGCGAUAAGCCUAGAUAAGUUGCAAUCGAACGUAAGAGUCUAGGAUUUCCGAAUGGAGCAAUCUAUUAAGAUGGAGUCUUAAUACGAAAGAGGGAACCACGUGAACUGAAACAUCUAAGUAACGUGAGGAAAAGAAAGUAAAAACGAUACCCAAAGUAGCGGCGAGCGAACUGGGUCAAGCCUAAACCUUAAAUAUGUCAAGGAUACAGCCGUUGUAUUUAAGGGGUUGAGGGACAAAGUAGUGAAGAACUGUAAGAUAUUCAAUAUAGUGUAUUGAUGAAUUAGAAUUGUAUGGAAAGAUAAACCGCAGAAGGUGAGAGUCCUGUAUAAGUAAAUCCUUACACAUAUAACUUUGCUCCCAAGUAACAUGGAACACGAGGAAUUCUGUGUGAAUCAGUGAGGACCAUAUCUCAUAAGGCUAAAUACUCUUACUAACCGAUAGCGCAUAGUACCGUGAGGGAAAGGUGAAAAGAACCCCUGGAGGGGAGUGAAAUAGAACCUGAAAUUGUGUGCUUACAAGCGGUCAGAGCCCAUUAGGGUGAUGGCGUGCCUUUUGGAGAAUGAUCCUGCGAGUUACGUUAAACGGCGAGGUUAAGUAUAACGGAGCCGAAGGGAAACCAAGUCUUAAUAGGGCGAUAUAGUCGUUUGGCGUAGACGCGAAACCUGGUGAUCUAAACCUGUCCAGGAUGAAGCUGUGGUAAGACACAGUGGAGGUCCUAACCCACCGCCGUUGAAAAGUUGGGGGAUGAGGUAGGUUUAGGGGUGAAAAGCCAAUCGAACCAGGAGAUAGCUCGUUCUCUCCGAAAUGCAUCUAGGUGCAGCCUUGAGUGUUCAAUUAUGGGGGUAGAGCACUGAAUGAUCUAGGGGGCAUAUUGCUUACUGAAAUCAAUCAAACUCCAAAUACCAUAAUUUAUAGCUCAGGAGUGAGACCAUGGGAGUUAACUUCCAUUGUCAAAAGGGAAACAACCCAGACCACCAGCUAAGGUCCCUAAUUAUAACUAAGUGGGAAAGGAGGUGGAGAUUCACAAACAACUAGGAGGUUGGCUUAGAAGCAGCCAUACCUUUAAAGAGUGCGUAAUAGCUCACUAGUCGAGAGUCUCUGCGCCGACAAUGUAACGGGGCUAAGUUAUAAACCGAAGCUGUGGAAUCCUUAUGGAUUGGUAGGAGAGCGUUCUGUAGGCUGUUGAAGAAGAAGGGUAACCAACUUUGGAGGUAUCAGAAGUGAGAAUGCAGGAAUAAGUAGCGAGAAAGGGGGCGAGAAUCCCCCUCGCCGGAAGACCAAGGUUUUCAGGGUAAAGCUUGUCUUCCCUGAGUAAGCCGGGACCUAAGCCCAGGCUAUAAUGCGUAGGCGAAUGGAAAACAGAUUAAUAUUUCUGUGCCAGUCAUUUAUUGUGAUGGAGGGACGCAGAAGGGUAUGUGCGCGGACGAUCGGUUGUGUCCGUAGAAGUAUGUAGGGUGACUUAGUAGGUAAAUCCAUUAAGUUAUAUCUGAGGUAUGAUAUACAGUCGUAAGAUGAAUGUACAAAUCCCACGCUGCCAAGAAAAACUUCUAACGUUAAUAUAUGACUGCCCGUACUGUAAACCGACACAGGUGGUCAGGAUGAGAAAUCUAAGGCGGACAGGCUAACUCUCGUUAAGGAACUCUGCAAAAUAACCUCGUAACUUCGGGAGAAGAGGAGCCCUUGUGUGUGAGUAUACACGCGAUACAAAGCGCACGAGGGUCGCAGUGAAGAGGCUCAAGCAACUGUUUAACAAAAACACAGGUCUAUGCUAAGCUGUAAGGCGAUGUAUAUGGGCUGACACCUGCCCAGUGCUGGAAGGUUAAGAGGAGGAGUGAGAGCUCCGAAUUGAAGCCCCAGUGAACGGCGGCCGUAACUAUAACGGUCCUAAGGUAGCGAAAUUCCUUGUCGGGU